This is a long non-coding RNA of Aplysia californica (California sea hare), 339 nucleotides long. RefSeq lists it as uncharacterized. The transcript is spliced from 2 exons. Lineage: Eukaryota; Metazoa; Mollusca; Gastropoda; Aplysiida; Aplysiidae. The record is from RefSeq and is a predicted model, not a curated record.
AUCUUCAAACAAAUAAAUUAUUGUUGUUUUCCUUUCUACACACCGCCCCAGCAACAGACUGUGUACAACAUGGCGGUGGGAUCGUCAAGCGAGUGUAACGCGGAGGGAAACUAGAAGUUCCUCUAAUUAACGACCUUCUACAAGGGGAUAUAAACUGUACGCAAUAUGCUGUCAAGUUAGAAAAGAACAGACAAGCCUGAGUGGUCUUCAGACAAGCCUGAGUGGUCUUGUAGCCAAAGGUCGAAGUCACUUGUAGCUAAAGGUCGAAGUCAUCAUGACGUCCGUGGCCAACAGAUUUCUGUCCGUGGAUCCCCACAUGAAAAAUGCGUUCUCAUCCAG